This 2562-nucleotide ribosomal RNA is filed under the name Escherichia coli. RNAcentral describes it as "partial 23S ribosomal RNA". It matches the Rfam family "Bacterial large subunit ribosomal RNA", at positions 397 to 2925 of the family's 2925-position model. The record is from RNAcentral. Lineage: Bacteria; Pseudomonadati; Pseudomonadota; Gammaproteobacteria; Enterobacterales; Enterobacteriaceae.
CUGUGAGCUCGAUGAGUAGGGCGGGACACGUGGUAUCCUGUCUGAAUAUGGGGGGACCAUCCUCCAAGGCUAAAUACUCCUGACUGACCGAUAGUGAACCAGUACCGUGAGGGAAAGGCGAAAAGAACCCCGGCGAGGGGAGUGAAAAAGAACCUGAAACCGUGUACGUACAAGCAGUGGGAGCACAGAGCAAUCUGUGUGACUGCGUACCUUUUGUAUAAUGGGUCAGCGACUUAUAUUCUGUAGCAAGGUUAACCGAAUAGGGGAGCCGAAGGGAAACCGAGUCUUAACUGGGCGUUAAGUUGCAGGGUAUAGACCCGAAACCCGGUGAUCUAGCCAUGGGCAGGUUGAAGGUUGGGUAACACUAACUGGAGGACCGAACCGACUAAUGUUGAAAAAUUAGCGGAUGACUUGUGGCUGGGGGUGAAAGGCCAAUCAAACCGGGAGAUAGCUGGUUCUCCCCGAAAGCUAUUUAGGUAGCGCCUCGUGAAUUCAUCUCCGGGGGUAGAGCACUGUUUCGGCAAGGGGGUCAUCCCGACUUACCAACCCGAUGCAAACUGCGAAUACCGGAGAAUGUUAUCACGGGAGACACACGGCGGGUGCUAACGUCCGUCGUGAAGAGGGAAACAACCCAGACCGCCAGCUAAGGUCCCAAAGUCAUGGUUAAGUGGGAAACGAUGUGGGAAGGCCCAGACAGCCAGGAUGUUGGCUUAGAAGCAGCCAUCAUUUAAAGAAAGCGUAAUAGCUCACUGGUCGAGUCGGCCUGCGCGGAAGAUGUAACGGGGCUAAACCAUGCACCGAAGCUGCGGCAGCGACGCUUAUGCGUUGUUGGGUAGGGGAGCGUUCUGUAAGCCUGCGAAGGUGUGCUGUGAGGCAUGCUGGAGGUAUCAGAAGUGCGAAUGCUGACAUAAGUAACGAUAAAGCGGGUGAAAAGCCCGCUCGCCGGAAGACCAAGGGUUCCUGUCCAACGUUAAUCGGGGCAGGGUGAGUCGACCCCUAAGGCGAGGCCGAAAGGCGUAGUCGAUGGGAAACAGGUUAAUAUUCCUGUACUUGGUGUUACUGCGAAGGGGGGACGGAGAAGGCUAUGUUGGCCGGGCGACGGUUGUCCCGGUUUAAGCGUGUAGGCUGGUUUUCCAGGCAAAUCCGGAAAACUAAGGCUGAGGCGUGAUGACGAGGCACUACGGUGCUGAAGCAACAAAUGCCCUGCUUCCAGGAAAAGCCUCUAAGCAUCAGGUAACAUCAAAUCGUACCCCAAACCGACACAGGUGGUCAGGUAGAGAAUACCAAGGCGCUUGAGAGAACUCGGGUGAAGGAACUAGGCAAAAUGGUGCCGUAACUUCGGGAGAAGGCACGCUGAUAUGUAGGUGAAGCGACUUGCUCGUGGAGCUGAAAUCAGUCGAAGAUACCAGCUGGCUGCAACUGUUUAUUAAAAACACAGCACUGUGCAAACACGAAAGUGGACGUAUACGGUGUGACGCCUGCCCGGUGCCGGAAGGUUAAUUGAUGGGGUCAGCGCAAGCGAAGCUCUUGAUCGAAGCCCCGGUAAACGGCGGCCGUAACUAUAACGGUCCUAAGGUAGCGAAAUUCCUUGUCGGGUAAGUUCCGACCUGCACGAAUGGCGUAAUGAUGGCCAGGCUGUCUCCACCCGAGACUCAGUGAAAUUGAACUCGCUGUGAAGAUGCAGUGUACCCGCGGCAAGACGGAAAGACCCCGUGAACCUUUACUAUAGCUUGACACUGAACAUUGAGCCUUGAUGUGUAGGAUAGGUGGGAGGCUUUGAAGUGUGGACGCCAGUCUGCAUGGAGCCGACCUUGAAAUACCACCCUUUAAUGUUUGAUGUUCUAACGUUGACCCGUAAUCCGGGUUGCGGACAGUGUCUGGUGGGUAGUUUGACUGGGGCGGUCUCCUCCUAAAGAGUAACGGAGGAGCACGAAGGUUGGCUAAUCCUGGUCGGACAUCAGGAGGUUAGUGCAAUGGCAUAAGCCAGCUUGACUGCGAGCGUGACGGCGCGAGCAGGUGCGAAAGCAGGUCAUAGUGAUCCGGUGGUUCUGAAUGGAAGGGCCAUCGCUCAACGGAUAAAAGGUACUCCGGGGAUAACAGGCUGAUACCGCCCAAGAGUUCAUAUCGACGGCGGUGUUUGGCACCUCGAUGUCGGCUCAUCACAUCCUGGGGCUGAAGUAGGUCCCAAGGGUAUGGCUGUUCGCCAUUUAAAGUGGUACGCGAGCUGGGUUUAGAACGUCGUGAGACAGUUCGGUCCCUAUCUGCCGUGGGCGCUGGAGAACUGAGGGGGGCUGCUCCUAGUACGAGAGGACCGGAGUGGACGCAUCACUGGUGUUCGGGUUGUCAUGCCAAUGGCACUGCCCGGUAGCUAAAUGCGGAAGAGAUAAGUGCUGAAAGCAUCUAAGCACGAAACUUGCCCCGAGAUGAGUUCUCCCUGACUCCUUGAGAGUCCUGAAGGAACGUUGAAGACGACGACGUUGAUAGGCCGGGUGUGUAAGCGCAGCGAUGCGUUGAGCUAACCGGUACUAAUGAACCGUGAGGCUUAACCUUACAACGCCGAAG